CGCGUAGGCGGCUUGGCAAGUCAGAUGUGAAAGCUCCGGGCUUAACUCGGGAAUUGCAUCUGAAACUGCUUUGCUUGAGUCCUGGAUGGGAUAGUGGAAUUCCCAGUGUAGCGGUGAAAUGCGUAGAUAUUGGGAGGAACACCUGCGGCGAAGGCGGCUAUCUGGACAGUGACUGACGCUGAGGCGCGAAAGCUAGGGGAGCGAACGGGAUUAGAUACCCCGGUAGUCCUAGCCGUAAACGAUGGGCACUUGGUGUUGGGGGUAUUGAGUCCCUCGGUGCCGGAGUUAACACGUUAAGUGCCCCGCCUGGGGAGUACGGUCGCAAGACUGAA
RNAcentral lists this ribosomal RNA (332 nucleotides) under uncultured bacterium. RNAcentral describes it as "bacterial SSU rRNA". It matches the Rfam family "Bacterial small subunit ribosomal RNA", at positions 568 to 898 of the family's 1533-position model. The record is from RNAcentral.